RNAcentral lists this ribosomal RNA (490 nucleotides) under uncultured bacterium. RNAcentral's name for it is "partial 16S ribosomal RNA". It matches the Rfam family "Bacterial small subunit ribosomal RNA", at positions 30 to 507 of the family's 1533-position model. The record is from RNAcentral.
AUUGAACGCUGGCGGCAGGCCUAACACAUGCAAGUCGAACGGUAACAGGAAGAAGCUUGCUUCUUUGCUGACGAGUGGCGGACGGGUGAGUAAUGUCUGGGAAACUGCCUGAUGGAGGGGGAUAACUACUGGAAACGGUAGCUAAUACCGCAUAACGUCGCAAGACCAAAGAGGGGGACCUUCGGGCCUCUUGCCAUCGGAUGUGCCCAGAUGGGAUUAGCUAGUAGGUGGGGUAACGGCUCACCUAGGCGACGAUCCCUAGCUGGUCUGAGAGGAUGACCAGCCACACUUGAACUGAGACACGGUCCAGACUCCUACGGGAGGCAGCAGUGGGGAAUAUUGCACAAUGGGCGCAAGCCUGAUGCAGCCAUGCCGCGUGUAUGAAGAAGGCCUUCGGGUUGUAAAGUACUUUCAGCGGGGAGGAAGGGAGUAAAGUUAAUACCUUUGCUCAUUGACGUUACCCGCAGAAGAAGCACCGGCUAACUCCGUG